RNAcentral lists this ribosomal RNA (253 nucleotides) under uncultured bacterium. RNAcentral describes it as "partial 16S ribosomal RNA". It matches the Rfam family "Bacterial small subunit ribosomal RNA", at positions 524 to 776 of the family's 1533-position model. The record is from RNAcentral.
UACAGAGGUCUCAAGCGUUGUUCGGAUUCAUUGGGCGUAAAGGGUGCGUAGGCGGCGCGGUAAGUCGGGUGUGAAAUCUCGGAGCUUAACUCCGAAACUGCAUUCGAUACUGCCGUGCUUGAGGACUGGAGAGGAGACUGGAAUUUACGGUGUAGCGGUGAAAUUCGUAGAUAUUGGGAAGAACACCGGUGGCGAAGGCGGCGACCUGGUCCAUUACUGACGCUGAGGCGCGACAGCGUGGGGAGCAAACAGG